CACACCCGACCCUCUAGGAACUAGUCUAAAAUAAGACCUCUAACUUCGACCUAGAAAAUCACGACA
This 66-nucleotide transfer RNA is filed under the name Caiman crocodilus (spectacled caiman). RNAcentral's name for it is "partial tRNA-Arg". The record is from RNAcentral. Lineage: Eukaryota; Metazoa; Chordata; Crocodylia; Alligatoridae.